Molecule: ribosomal RNA, 297 nt
Filed under: Triticum aestivum (bread wheat)
Lineage: Eukaryota; Viridiplantae; Streptophyta; Magnoliopsida; Poales; Poaceae
Description: partial small subunit ribosomal RNA
Source: RNAcentral
AUGUGGAACCUGAAUAUCUCUAUGAAGCCAAGCACCUUCCACAUCUGCUUGGAAAAAGCUCUGGUUAUCUUUGAUUGGAGGUUGCUACGUAUGGUUGAUGGAUUGAACUUCAAGGAAUUUGUUUCUUUUCUCUCUACCUUCAGCGCAAGGGCCAGCCUUCAGCAAAAGAUUGAGUUGAUAUUUAAGGUGUAUGACAUUGAUGGCAAGGGGAAAGUAUCCUUCAAGGACCUGGUAGAGAUUUUACGAGACCUAACAGGCUCAUCCAUGUUAGAGAAACAAAGAGAGGUUCUGAUUUGA